RNAcentral lists this long non-coding RNA (1049 nucleotides) under Taeniopygia guttata (zebra finch). RNAcentral describes it as "lncRNA (ENSTGUG00000027587.1)". The record is from RNAcentral. Lineage: Eukaryota; Metazoa; Chordata; Aves; Passeriformes; Estrildidae.
GAGAGGGAGGGGGGGGUUUGGGGGGGGGAGGGUGUAGGGGGUGGGGGAGGGGAGGAAGGGAGGGUACACAGGAGAGGUAUAGAGAAAAAGAAACGCAAAAGAACAGAAACACAGAAGAAAAGAAAUACAGAGAAAAAGAGACAAAGGGGCCCGGCCGGCAGCAACCUCCCGCUCUGAGCGCCGAGCAGCAAAUGGCUCUGCCCGGGCCUCCCCGCGGGUUAAAUCCCCCCGGCCCCGCCCCGCGCAGGCGCGCUGGGGCCCCGCGCACCUGUGCGCGCACCUGUGCUGGCCCCGCCCCAGCCCCGCCCCCCGCCCGUAAAUGGCGGCGGAUCCGCGCCCGCCUCACGUUCUGCGGGGGAUGCUCGGCCCGGGCUGCAGCGGGACCGGCGCUCGGAGCGCCGUGCCGAGAUCGGAUCGGCGCUGCUCCCGGCGUUGCGCGGCGUCCGACGGGCUCAGGUGGGACCGGGACUGGGAUCCGGGCCCGGGGAUUUGGGUCCCGGUCCCGCCGGUGUCUGCUGUGGGAGCCGGGCAGAGCCGCUCCUUCCUCGGCGGGCGGGGUGGGGGUGCCGGGGCCGGAGGAUCGAGGCGGGAUCGGGGCUGGGAUCGGGACCGGCAUCGCCGCUCCGCCGGGGCCGCCGCUCCCGCUCCGGCUGCGCCCGGUGCGGGGCUGGAGGAGCCCGGAGCCCCCGAAGGGCAGAGAGCACCUCCGGUCCUUGGCUCGGCAGGGCAGGAGCUGCCGUGCCCGGCCCGCGGCUCGCAGCGUGCCCAACGCACGGCCCGGCACGGGCACCGGGGCACCGGACAGCGCCGGCACGGACACGGCUGAAGGGCUGCCCGUGGCUCCUCGGCUGGGGGCUGCUCCCCACAGGCACGCAGGGAUGCUUCAGCCCGGACAGACGCCACCGACAGCCCCGAGGGACCCCAGGGAACGGCUGGCAUCACCUGGGAAUGGAGGCACGGCCGUUUGCAGAGCGGCUCUGACAGCAAUCCCUGUUUCUGACCUCCCCGAGCUCCCACACAGCUGCCAGAUACUAAAUGCCAAGCCAUAG